GUGAACACUUGUACAAUGGAUCUUCAUUCAGUUAUUCUGUUCUGUGUCUCAGCUGCUGCUGUCUUUGGAAAUGUCAUCAAACCAGAACAACUAGAUGUUUUUGCUGAGGAGGGUUCAAGUGUUAUCCUGUACUUUUUCUGACUCUGGAGUUACAGAUCAUCUCCACUGGUACCGUCAGUAUGGAAGAUCACAACCAGAAUUUCUUGCACUCUCCUACAGCAAUGCAAAAGUUGCUCAGUGGUCUGAUGUAGAUCCAAGAUUCUCUGUUAACAUUCCAAAAAGGGAACAUGUGGAUCUGGAGAUCUCCUCUGCUGCUGUAUCAGACUCUGCUCUGUACUACUGUGCUCUGAGGCUCACAGUGACAGGAAACACAUCAGCUCUCUACAAAAACCUGUUACAGUAA
Molecule: non-coding RNA, 403 nt
Organism: Sinocyclocheilus grahami
Lineage: Eukaryota; Metazoa; Chordata; Actinopteri; Cypriniformes; Cyprinidae
Source: the annotation of a RefSeq genome assembly